UGAACGCUAGCGGCAGGCUUAAUACAUGCAAGUCGUGGGGCAGCAUGAGUAGCAAUACUUGAUGGCGACCGGCAAACGGGUGAGGAACACGUACACAACCUUCCUUCAAGCGGGGAAUAGCCCAGAGAAAUUUGGAUUAAUACCCCAUAAUAUAUUUGAUAAGGCAUCUUAUUAAUAUUAAAGCUUCGGCACUUGAUGAUGGGUGUGCGGCUGAUUAGAUAGUUGGCGGGGUAACGGCCCACCAAGUCUACGAUCAGUAGCUGAUGUGAGAGCAUGAUCAGCCACACGGGCACUGAGACACGGGCCCGACUCCUGCGGGAGGCAGCAGUAAGGAAUAUUGGACAAUGGACGAAAGUCUGAUCCAGCCAUGCCGCGUGAAGGAUUAAGGUCCUCUGGAUUGUAAACUUCUUUUAUAUGGGACGAAAAAAGGGCAUUCUUGUUCACUUGACGGUACCAUAUGAAUAAGCACCGGCUAACUCCGUG
RNAcentral lists this ribosomal RNA (483 nucleotides) under uncultured bacterium. RNAcentral describes it as "bacterial SSU rRNA". It matches the Rfam family "Bacterial small subunit ribosomal RNA", at positions 30 to 507 of the family's 1533-position model. The record is from RNAcentral.